GACGAACGCUGGCGGCGUGCUUAACACAUGCAAGUCGAACGCUGAAGCUCAGCUUUUGUUGGGUGGAUGAGUGGCGAACGGGUGAGUAACACGUGAGUAACCUGCCCCCUUCUUUGGGAUAACGCCCGGAAACGGGUGCUAAUACUGGAUAUUCACUGGCUUUCGCAUGGGGGUUGGUGGAAAGGUUUUUCUGGUGGGGGAUGGGCUCGCGGCCUAUCAGCUUGUUGGUGGGGUGAUGGCCUACCAAGGCUUUGACGGGUAGCCGGCCUGAGAGGGUGACCGGUCACAUUGGGACUGAGAUACGGCCCAGACUCCUACGGGAGGCAGCAGUGGGGAAUAUUGCACAAUGGGCGAAAGCCUGAUGCAGCGACGCCGCGUGAGGGAUGGAGGCCUUCGGGUUGUAAACCUCUUUCGCUCAUGGUCAAGCCGCAGCUUUGGGUUGUGGUGAGGGUAGUGGGUAAAGAAGCGCCGGCUAACUACGUGCCAGCAGCCGCGGUAAUACGUAGGGCGCUAUCGUUGUCCGGAAUUAUUGUGGCGUAAAGGGCUUGUAGGCGGUUGGUCGCGUCUGCCGGGAAAAUCCUCUGGCUUAACUGGGGCGUGCGGUGGGUACUGUUUGACUUUGAUUGCUGUGGGGGAGACUUGUAACUGUCUGGUGUAGCGUUGGAAUGCGCAGAUAUCAUGAAGAUCACCGGUGGCUGAAGGCGGGUCUCUGGGCCUUUACUGUACGCUGAUAGUGGAAGCGUGGUGAUCGAACAGGAUUUGAGCCCUGUUAGUGCUGUGGCGAGUUGCACAGUGGAUUCAUGCUUAUUGUUCCUUCUGAUGUGUGUGAGUACCUGUCUCUGCUGUGUUCUGUUUAGUGAGGUUUAUUACGC
This 872-nucleotide ribosomal RNA is filed under the name uncultured Streptococcus sp. Its description in RNAcentral is "bacterial SSU rRNA". It matches the Rfam family "Bacterial small subunit ribosomal RNA". Lineage: Bacteria; Bacillati; Bacillota; Bacilli; Lactobacillales; Streptococcaceae. The record is from RNAcentral.